RNAcentral lists this ribosomal RNA (505 nucleotides) under uncultured bacterium. RNAcentral's name for it is "bacterial SSU rRNA". It matches the Rfam family "Bacterial small subunit ribosomal RNA", at positions 30 to 526 of the family's 1533-position model. The record is from RNAcentral.
AUUGAACGCUGGCGGCGUGCUUAACACAUGCAAGUCGAGCGGUAACAGGUGUAGCAAUACAUGCUGACGAGCGGCGAACGGGUGAGUAAUGCUUCGGAAUCUUCCUUGUAGUGGGGAAUAACCUAGGGAAACUCAGGCUAAUGCCGCAUACGAACUACAGUUGAAAGCGGGGGAUCGCAAGACCUCGCGCUAUAAGAUGAGCCGAAGUCGGAUUAGCUAGGUGGUAGGGGAACGGCCUACCAAGGCGACGAUCCGUAGCUGGUCUGAGAGGACGACCAGCCACACUGGGACUGAGACACGGCCCAGACUCCUACGGGAGGCAGCAGUGGGGAAUAUUGGACAAUGGGGGCAACCCUGAUCCAGCGACGCCGCGUGUGUGAAGAAGGCCUGCGGGUUGUAAAGCACUUUUAGUGGGGACAAAAAGCCGAGGGCUAAUACCUUUCGGUCUUGAUUUAACCCAAAGAAAAAGCACCGGCUAACUCUGUGCCAGCCGCCGCAGUAAUAC